Molecule: unclassified non-coding RNA, 222 nt
Filed under: Hevea brasiliensis (rubber tree)
Lineage: Eukaryota; Viridiplantae; Streptophyta; Magnoliopsida; Malpighiales; Euphorbiaceae
Source: RNAcentral
GCAACGAGAAAAUUAUUGUUUAGAAAGAAAAAGGAGAGCCCUUGCAAUCAAGGGAUGAACAAAGAAAGGCCAAUAACAAAAGAAAGAAGAUUGCAUCAAUUACUCACAGAAUCAAGAAAAAAAGAUUUAGGUCUAAUAAAAUCAGCUAGUUUCAUUGACAAAUGGAAGUCACAAUUUACAAUUUCCAACAAGAAGGGAAUUCAGCAGCAGUGUCACUACAAA